ACAUUUCGAACGCACAUUGCGGUCCACGGAUCCAAUUCCNGGACCACACUUGGCUGAGGGUCGUUUAUUAUAUAAAAACUGCUUACAAUUACUUGUAAUUGUACAAGCGAUGAAUGUGUGUAAACUUUAAAUGAAUGUUUUUCAUUGUCUAAAAAUUUGAUUAUAUAAAUAAGACAAUGUCAUUUUAAAUUAUUAUACAUACUCGAUUUAAUGAAUUGUCAUUAUAAUCGUUUAUCGAGUCUAUGAAUUAUAGAAAUAAAUCAGACCGAUGAAUAUUUUCAUAUAAAUCGUUAUAUUACUUUGACGACCUCAGAUUAAGUGAGACUACCCGCUGAAUUUAAGCAUAUUACUAAGCGGAGGAAAAGAAA
RNAcentral lists this ribosomal RNA (368 nucleotides) under Cotesia sp. MSR-2016. Its description in RNAcentral is "eukaryotic LSU rRNA". The stretch from base 305 to 368 matches the Rfam family "Eukaryotic large subunit ribosomal RNA", at positions 1 to 64 of the family's 3401-position model. Lineage: Eukaryota; Metazoa; Arthropoda; Insecta; Hymenoptera; Braconidae. The record is from RNAcentral.